RNAcentral lists this transfer RNA (66 nucleotides) under Colus islandicus. RNAcentral's name for it is "tRNA-Tyr". The record is from RNAcentral. Lineage: Eukaryota; Metazoa; Mollusca; Gastropoda; Neogastropoda; Colidae.
UUGUUGGGAAAAUUUAAUUCCAUAAAUAGAUCUACAAUCUAUUGCUUAUAAUUCAGCCACCAAACA